Molecule: ribosomal RNA, 513 nt
Filed under: uncultured bacterium
Lineage: Bacteria
Description: bacterial SSU rRNA
Rfam family: Bacterial small subunit ribosomal RNA
Source: RNAcentral
GACGAACGCUGGCGGCGUGCCUAAUACAUGCAAGUCGAACGCACUCUCGUUUAGAUUGAAGGAGCUUGCUCCUGAUUGAUAAACAUUUGAGUGAGUGGCGGACGGGUGAGUAACACGUGGGUAACCUGCCCUAAAGUGGGGGAUAACAUUUGGAAACAGAUGCUAAUACCGCAUAAAACCUAAACACCGCAUGGUGUAGGGUUGAAAGAUGGUUUCGGCUAUCACUUUAGGAUGGACCCGCGGUGCAUUAGUUAGUUGGUGAGGUAAAGGCUCACCAAGACCGUGAUGCAUAGCCGACCUGAGAGGGUAAUCGGCCACACUGGGACUGAGACACGGCCCAGACUCCUACGGGAGGCAGCAGUAGGGAAUCUUCCACAAAUGGACGAAAGUCUGAUGGAGCAACGCCGCGUGAGUGAAGAAGGUUUUCGGAUCGUAAAAACUCUAGUUGUUGGAGAAGAAUGUAUCUGAUAGUAACUGAUCAGGUAGUGACGGUAUCCAACCAGAAAGCCACGG